RNAcentral lists this transfer RNA (71 nucleotides) under Neochauliodes punctatolosus. RNAcentral's name for it is "tRNA-Tyr". The record is from RNAcentral. Lineage: Eukaryota; Metazoa; Arthropoda; Insecta; Megaloptera; Corydalidae.
UUUCGCGAUAGGAUGGCUGAGGAAUAGGCAAUAAACUGUAAAUUUAUCAACGAAAUUAAUUUCUUCUAUCA